RNAcentral lists this ribosomal RNA (494 nucleotides) under uncultured bacterium. RNAcentral's name for it is "partial 16S ribosomal RNA". It matches the Rfam family "Bacterial small subunit ribosomal RNA", at positions 28 to 507 of the family's 1533-position model. The record is from RNAcentral.
GACGAACGCUGGCGGCGUGCUUAACACAUGCAAGUCGAACGGUGAAGCGCCUUCCUUUUUGGUGGGUGUGGAUGAGUGGCGAACGGGUGAGUAACACGUGAGUAACCUGCCCCCUUCUUCUGGAUAACCGCAUGAAAGUGUGGCUAAUACGGGAUAUUCUGGGUCUGUCGCAUGAUGGGUCUGGGAAAGAUAUUGUUUCGGUGGGGGAUGGGCUCGCGGCCUAUCAGCUUGUUGGUGGGGUGAUGGCCUACCAAGGCGGUGACGGGUAGCCGGCCUGAGAGGGUGGCCGGUCACACUGGGACUGAGACACGGCCCAGACUCCUACGGGAGGCAGCAGUGGGGAAUAUUGCACAAUGGGCGCAAGCCUGAUGCAGCGACGCCGCGUGAGGGAUGGAGGCCUUCGGGUUGUGAACCUCUUUCGCCAGUGAAGCAGGCCUGCCUCGUUUGUGGGUGGGUUGACGGUAACUGGAUAAGAAGCGCCGGCUAACUACGUG